UAACACGUAGGAUCCGAGCGUUAUCCGAAUUUACUGGGCGUAAAGCGCGUGUAGGCGGUCAGGUAAGUUGGACGUGAAAUCUCCUGGCUCAACUAGGAGAGGUCGUUCAAAACUGCCGGACUAGAGGGCGACAGAGGGAGGUGGAAUUCCCGGUGUAGUGGUGAAAUGCGUAGAUAUCGGGAGGAACACCAGUGGCGAAGGCGGCCUCCUGGGUCGCACCUGACGCUAAGACGCGAAAGCUAGGGUAGCAAACGGGAUUAGAAACCCCGGUAGUCCUAGCCGUAAACGAUGUAGACUUGGUGUCGGUGGUGUAAAAGCCAUCGGUGCCGUAGCUAACGCGAUAAGUCUACCGCCUGGGGAUUACGGUCGCAAGACUA
This 377-nucleotide ribosomal RNA is filed under the name uncultured Anaerolineae bacterium. RNAcentral's name for it is "bacterial SSU rRNA". It matches the Rfam family "Bacterial small subunit ribosomal RNA", at positions 521 to 896 of the family's 1533-position model. The record is from RNAcentral. Lineage: Bacteria; Bacillati; Chloroflexota; Anaerolineae.